GAGUUCGAGUCUCCUAACCUCCACUGACCGAACUUGGUUCCCAUCUCCAAUUUUUUUGGAGUUGAGCUCGAUUGGAGGGUGAUUUAGAUGUGUCCGCUGGAUGACCCCAGCUUCCUGUCAUUCCAAGUUUUAGGUUGAAGCCUUGAAUUUGGUUGAUAAGAUGCUGGGCUCGGAUCAAAUGAUCAAGCAAUUGAUCAUCUGAUUUGAAGUUCUAGCA
RNAcentral lists this unclassified non-coding RNA (217 nucleotides) under uncultured cyanobacterium. Its description in RNAcentral is "partial 16S-23S ribosomal RNA intergenic spacer". The record is from RNAcentral. Lineage: Bacteria; Bacillati; Cyanobacteriota.